Molecule: small nucleolar RNA, 72 nt
Filed under: Carlito syrichta (Philippine tarsier)
Lineage: Eukaryota; Metazoa; Chordata; Mammalia; Primates; Tarsiidae
Description: Small nucleolar RNA SNORD63 (ENSTSYG00000025049.2)
Source: RNAcentral
GGACAGUGAUUAGAAGUGUACAAUACAUCAUUCUGAAGAGAAGUGUGUGGUGACUUCCUUUAACUGAGAACA